UGAGUGUCACAUUGAGGCCAUAAAGCCCUA
This 30-nucleotide non-coding RNA is filed under the name Mus musculus (house mouse). The record is from RNAcentral. Lineage: Eukaryota; Metazoa; Chordata; Mammalia; Rodentia; Muridae.